GUAGCCUAGAAUACGUUUUCGUUAAUCAAUCAUCAGCCUCUAGUAAUUUCACCAGCGAGUCCGCAGUAAACAUAGUUAUUUGUAAAUAUGAAUAGAUGUGUAGCCGACAGUAGAUGUGUACGGAACGCGCGAUUACAAUGUUUCGUAGAACGACGAUGCGCUAGUCUAUCCGUCUGUGUCCCCUUGACCCGAGGCUGCUAGACGUUACAAUGUAACCACAUGAUGAUGAUGAUGAUAAUGACGACGAUAUUCUGUCUGGACCUCGAGAUUGUGCUCGCUUUACAUUGUUAGAAUGAGAAAAAAGCAGAAUGUGAAACAGAGAAAGGCAGAAACAAUAAUAACACCAACACCAUUAACAACAACAACACUAUCAACAACAACAACAGCAGCAGCAGUCAUCCAGGAGUUUGUGGUUGAGAAGAUCAUCCACCGAAGGGUCUUCAAUGGAAGAGUAGAGUACUAUCUGAAGUGGAAAGGAUUCACUGAUGCUGACAACACCUGGGAACCAGAGGACAACUUGGUCUGUCCUGAAUUGAUAGAAGAGUUCCUGAGAAACCUCUGUUUGUCUGGAGAGAAUCAGGUUGAGGAAGAGAACCUACGGCCGGUGGAACCAGAGCUAGUCCCCAAAGAGGAACUGGCAGAACAGGAGACUGAGAUUCAGGUGUACAGCGAGCAGAGACAUAAUGACCUCCAGGAACCUGCUGACCAGGAUUCUCCUACUGCCCUCACAUGCCCCCUGGAACCUGAACGCAUCAUUGGCUCCACAGACAGACACGGAGAACUCAUGUUCCUCAUCAAAUGGAAGAACCGUGACGAGGUGGCCCUGCUGUCAGCCAGGGAGGCCAGCGCCAGGUAUCCUGAGGUGGUUGUAGCCUUCUACGAGGACAAACUCACCUGGCACUCUGGGGACGAGGACCAGUAAAGGAUGUGUGUGUGUCGUAGAAUGUGUGUGUGCAUGUGAGUACACAAGUAUGGAUGUGAACUGACAAGCAUCUGUAGCCAUCUCAUAGGUUAAUUUCUCCUCCAGCGAACCAAUGUCCUCCUUGAGCUGACAUUAAAAGCACAGUGUGUGAAACGAUGUCCUGCUGCAGGUAGAUUGAGUCAUCGAGGCAGGUGUAAAAGCCCUCUACGGGGUCUUCCUGCUUCCUGUGGUGCUGGGUGAGGUCACAAUGCCUUUGGGGUGUAGUGCAGCGUGUGGUGGAGUUCAGAACCGUUCAUAGAGACGUCUAUCUCUCUCUGUGGCCCUGAUUGAGUUGAAACUAAUGAAAUGAAGGCAGACAGCCUGAUGAAUUCUCCCCUCAGUCUAUUGUACAACCUUUCAACCCGAAGCUCUUUGUCAAAGCCUGACAGAGUGUGUGAGUAUCUCUGGAUUUACAUGCCUUUGUUUUUUGGGAUCCAGCACUUAAAAGUGACUGGAUGUGUGUACACUACGUUUGAAGAGUUGAAACUAACCCUUAGCAUUCCUUUCCCAGUGUCUUCAUGUACUGCAGCAGACUGAAUCACUGUGGACACUGUUCUGUUUGACUACUGAUACUGUGGUCGUAGAACCCCAUGUGAUUGUAUUGGAGUUUAGUACUUGAUUUAGUUUCUUGUAUCUUCUGCCUCCGGGGCACCUUGGCCACAAGGCUCUCCCUCCGGCUCUUCCACUGUGAGAUGACUGUGGUUUUAUUAGGUAUAGUAAUAUUGUAGAGUAAUGGGUUCACUGUGAGAUGACUGUGGUUUUAUUAGGUAUAGUAAUAUUGUAGAGUAAUGGGUUCACUGUGAGAUGACUGUGGUUUUAUUAGGUAUAGUAAUAUUGUAGAGUAAUGGGUUCACUGUGAGAUGACUGUGGUUUUAUUAGGUAUAGUAAUAUUGUAUAGUAUUGGGUUCACUGUGCAUUACACUCAAUAGAUAACUACUGGCCACCUAAUAUGAUAUCUGCACUUUUUACUUUUUGCCACAAUCCUUGAUAUUGUACUUUUUUUUGUGUGUGUGUGCGAUUCAAAGUUGAUAAAUGUGUUACAUUUAGUUUACUGACAAAUGUAGAAAAGUGUUGAAUGAUAGUAGACUGACGGUAUACUGUUUAAUGUAGAACAUGAUAGUAGAUGGUAUACUGUUUAAUGUAGAACAUGAUAGUAGAUGGUAUACUGUUUAAUGUAGAACAUGAUAGUAGAUGGUAUACUGUUUAAUGUAGAACAUGAUAGUAAACGGUAUACUGUUUAAUGUAGAACAUGAUAGUAGACGGUAUACUGUUUAAUGUAGAACAUGAUAGUAGACGGUAUACUGUUUAAUGUAGAACAUGAUAGUAGACGGUAUACUGUUUAAUGUAGAACAUGAUAGUAGACGGUAUACUGUUUAAUGUAGAACAUGAUAGUAGAUGGUAUACUGUUUAAUGUAGAACAUGAUAGUAGAUGGUAUACUGUUUAAUGUAGAACAUGAUAGUAGAUGGUAAACUGUUUAAUGUAGAACAUGAUAGUAGACGGUAUACUGUUUAAUGUAGAACAUGAUAGUAGACGGUAUACUGUUUAAUGUAGAACAUGAUAGUAGACGGUAUACUGUUUAAUGUAGAACAUGAUAGUAGACGGUAUACUGUUUAAUGUAGAACAUGAUAGUAGACGGUAUACUGUUUAAUGUAGAACAUGAUAGUAGAUGGUAUACUGUUUAAUGUAGAACAU
RNA transcript from Oncorhynchus tshawytscha (Chinook salmon), 2654 nucleotides. It is a transcript of the gene named chromobox homolog 3b, with no coding region annotated. The transcript has 6 exons. NCBI's taxonomy places the organism in Eukaryota, Metazoa, Chordata, Actinopteri, Salmoniformes, Salmonidae. The record is from RefSeq and is a predicted model, not a curated record.